Molecule: long non-coding RNA, 226 nt
Filed under: Elaeis guineensis (African oil palm)
Lineage: Eukaryota; Viridiplantae; Streptophyta; Magnoliopsida; Arecales; Arecaceae
Description: long non-coding RNA (EGUI_LNC010301)
Source: RNAcentral
AUGAUCUGAUGGCUGAAAAUACGUUGAUGCAUGAUUUUACAUGAUCCAAGGGUCAGAGAAGGUUCUGGGAGAGAUCCAACGACUGGAAAGGGUAGUUGAGUCUUUUUAAAGCCCUGUUUUCCAUCCAGACUGGGAUUUGAGUCCUUUAUUAGAGGCAAAUGGGCCAAAAGGUAGAGAGCACCUUAUGGAAUAGAGAGUAGCGGUUGAGAGCACCCGAGAGGUAGAG